This 442-nucleotide ribosomal RNA is filed under the name uncultured bacterium. Its description in RNAcentral is "partial 16S ribosomal RNA". It matches the Rfam family "Bacterial small subunit ribosomal RNA", at positions 338 to 795 of the family's 1533-position model. The record is from RNAcentral.
CCUACGGGUGGCAGCAGUGGGGAAUAUUGGGCAAUGGGCGCAAGCCUGACCCAGCAACGCCGCGUGCAGGAAGACGGCUUUCUGGUUGUAAACUUCUUUUGUCAGGGAAGAGUAGAAGACGGUACCUGACGAAUAAGCCACGGCGAACUACGUGCCAGCAGCCGCGGUAAUACGUAGGUGGCAAGCGUUGUCCGGAUUUACUGGGUGUAAAGGGCUUGUAGUCGGGUGGACAAGUCAGAUGUGAAAUCCUGCGGCUUAACCGCAGAACUGCCUUUGAAACUGUUGAUCUAGAGUACUGGAGAGGCAGACGGAAUUCCUGGUGUAGCGGUGAAAUGCGUAGAUAUUAGGAGGAACCCCAGUGGCGAAGGCGGUCUGCUGGACAGCAAGUGACGGUGAGGCGCGAAAGCGUGGGGAGCAAACAGGAUUAGAUACCCGAGUAGUC